Molecule: ribosomal RNA, 504 nt
Filed under: uncultured bacterium
Lineage: Bacteria
Description: partial 16S ribosomal RNA
Rfam family: Bacterial small subunit ribosomal RNA
Source: RNAcentral
AUUGAACGCUGGCGGCAGGCCUAACACAUGCAAGUCGGACGGUAGCACAGAGAGCUUGCUCUCGGGUGACAAGUGGCGGACGGGUGAGUAAUGUCUGGGGAUCUGCCCGAUAGAGGGGGAUAACCACUGGAAACGGUGGCUAAUACCGCAUAACGUCGCAAGACCAAAGAGGGGGACCUUCGGGCCUCUCACUAUCGGAUGAACCCAGAUGGGAUUAGCUAGUAGGCGGGGUAACGGCCCACCUAGGCGACGAUCCCUAGCUGGUCUGAGAGGAUGACCAGCCACACAGGAACUGAGACACGGUCCAGACUCCUACGGGAGGCAGCAGGGGGGAAUAUUGCACAGUGGGCGCAAGCCUGAUGCAGCCAUGCCGCGUGUAUGAAGAAGGCCUUCGGGUUGUAAAGUACUUUCAGCGGGGAGGAAGGCGAUGUGGUUAAUAACCGCAUUGAUUGACGUUACCCGCAGAAGAAGCACCGGCUAACUCCGUGCCAGCAGCCGCGGUAA